This is a long non-coding RNA of Herpailurus yagouaroundi (jaguarundi), 1298 nucleotides long. RefSeq lists it as uncharacterized. The record is from RefSeq and is a predicted model, not a curated record. NCBI's taxonomy places the organism in Eukaryota, Metazoa, Chordata, Mammalia, Carnivora, Felidae. The transcript has 4 exons.
AGGAGCAGGAGGGGCCCGAGCGACGCGACGCAGCGUCCGGCGAGGCCUGGUGGGCGCUGCCGGCAGCCGCGGGCGACGCCGGCAGACCCCCGGGACCUGGGUUUUCCAAAAGCGGUUUUUAAAACUCCCGAACGGACUUUUCAUUGAGCUUCCGGCCUCCGUUGACGCUCUUCCCUCCCCCCAGUCUCCGGACCUGGUGGUUCUUGCCUGAUGAGACUUCCAGAACUACAUGAAAUCAAUUAUGCAAACUGUGAACCUUGAUGACCCCAACUGCCACCGUCUGCCUCAUGUCACGGACAGCGAAGCGACCUAGGACACAGGACAUGAGGAAACAAAUGGGGAAUGCUACCAAGGCACGAGCUAGGACACUUGUACGGGAGGCCAAAGCAUGUUUUAAAGUCAGAGUGACGCAGGGCCAAAUGACAGAGCGCCUAGGCAGGCAUGUGGACCACUGGCACAUGGUCAGCAAGCCCUCAAUCAGUAGUAGCAAACACAUAAAGUAACAGAGAAAUUAACUGACUGGCCCAAGAUCAUAUAAUUAAUAAACAGCAGAGUCAGGAUUUGAACCCAAAGCAUCAGACUCCAGUUCAAACUCUCAACCACUACCUUAUGUUAAAGGUUAAACCAGUAUCUAUGGCUGAUAAUUACUCAUGACACCCUGGAAAAGUUGAGCUUCUUUCAGCACUGGUGAAAAUGAGACUACCUAAAGGUGGUGGCAUAUUCAAGUUAGCAUGCUUGUUCAGGGAAUACUCUACCACUUGCCAGCUCACGGGACCUGGGCAUCUGUUCAUUUUAGCUCUAAUUAGAGGGCAGAGUAGAGAACAAGAAAGACCAGAGACCAGGUGGCACCCCCCAAGAACACUAAUUAGGUUAUUAAAAGAUAGAAUUAGAACCCAGGUGUCCUAACUUUUGUCACUGUAGGAACGUCUAUAAAAUCCAUUGUAGUUUAGAAUAUUUAUUAGAUAAGCAGCUAUCAAAGAGUGGUCCGGAGACCCUGAUACCUUUUAGAGUUUGCAAGGUCAAAACUGUUGUUUAUAUAUGAAGACAUUAUUUGCCUCCCCCGCCCUCACUCUCUCACCAUUGUGUAGUCUUUUCUAGAGGUUACAUGACAUGUGAAAUCACAACAGACUGAUUGCAGAAGGUGGGAAUCCAGCUGUCUUCUAUUAAGCCAGGCGUUAAAGCUAUCAGCAAAAAUGUAAAACAGUGCCACCCUCCCAACAUUUUUUGUUUUGGAAAAUAGUUAAGUAUCACACUUUGUAUGAAAAAUAUGUUAACAUAUUAAGAGCUUAUUACUAUUA